AACGAACGCUGGUCGGCGUGCUAACACAUGCAAGUCGAGACGGAAAGUCCCUUCGGGGUACGGAGUAAAGACGGCGGACGGGUGAGUAAUACAUGGAUAAUCUCCCUCGAGCCUGGGAUAACCCUGCGAAAGUGGGGCUAAUACCGGAUAAGACCACAUGACGCAUGUCACGGGGUAGAAGGUGGCUUGUAUUUAUAUGAGCUAUCACUUGAGGAUGAGUCCAUGGCCUAUCAGCUAGUUGGUGAGGUAAGAGCUUACCAAGGCUAUGACGGGUAGCUGGUCUGAGAGGACGACUAGCCACACUGGGACUGAGACACGGCCCAGACUCCUACGGGAGGCAGCAGUGGGGAAUAUUGGGCAAUGGGCGAAAGCCUGACCCAGCGACGCCGCGUGGGUGAUGAAGGCCUUCGGGUUGUAAAACCCUUUCGUGCGGAAAGAAUAGUCUCGUAGCGAAUAACUAUGGGAUUUGACGGUACCGCAGGAAGAAGCACCGGCUAACUCCGUG
Molecule: ribosomal RNA, 505 nt
Filed under: uncultured bacterium
Lineage: Bacteria
Description: bacterial SSU rRNA
Rfam family: Bacterial small subunit ribosomal RNA
Source: RNAcentral